UGCAACUCUGAUAUCUUCGUUAAUCUAACUGGUCUUGGGCCUCCGUUUGUGUUGCACCUACCUGGCUGGUGGGAAGCGGGCCGGAGGUGACCUCCGCUAGGGAUUUGUGGUCUCGAAGGGGCGGCGGGAUUUAGUGAAGGGCAAAAUGGCGUCUGCGGGCGGUGCCGGCGCGCUUCUCCAUGAUGAGCACCUUUUCACAGACCUGUACUGAGCUCCGUGAGGAAAAGAAACUCUGAGGAGCCGGGCUUUGUGCAGCCGUCCGCAGGCGUAUUUCCGGAAAGGGGAGCGUGGCGAAAUACCCACCGCUGACCUCAUGUUUUCUUUGCAGGGCUCGCGCGCACGUUGAGCGCUAGAGGAUGGGGAAGGCCUGCCUGGUCGGGAUGUGGCUAAGCUCCAAAGACCAUAAACAUGGCAAGGACGAUCCCUGUGAAGAUCCAGCCUGAUGGUCGUGCCCCAGCAACUCAAUCACCAGUCUGGAGUUGAUCUAUUUCCUGAUGUGAAUAAGGUGGUGCUGAUGGUGGAUUCAUCUCUUGCAAAUGCCUGUUGUGCAGCUCCGCAGGGUCUUUGACUCCCAAGAAAAGUCAAGUGGAGGACCGUGUUCCUGUCUACUGUUCAGAGACCUGUAGUUACAAGGUACUAUUGGCAGUAAUCUGCUUGUUUGCUCCAAGGUCCAACACCUUAUUUAGGACCAGGAGUGAUUUCAGAGAAACUAAAAAGCUGAGUGUCUGCUCAACUCCAUACUAAAAUUAAGGUUUAAAGAAGCAGUGACUAGAAUGCCCAGAAGCAGACCUAGUACUGCUGGCAGAAGCUUGUGGCCCCUUGUGAGCACUGCGGAGUACCUGCAGUUUCCAUCCAGUGGGAAACCAAUUCUCAGAGGACAUGAAGUCUUCUGCAGCCCAACUGUUGAAAUUGGCACACAAUCUUUGCUGAAUAAAGUUGCUUUUUUUU
This is a long non-coding RNA of Condylura cristata (star-nosed mole), 948 nucleotides long. RefSeq lists it as uncharacterized. The transcript is spliced from 10 exons. The record is from RefSeq and is a predicted model, not a curated record. Lineage: Eukaryota; Metazoa; Chordata; Mammalia; Eulipotyphla; Talpidae.